GACGAACGCUGGCGGCGUGCCUAAUACAUGCAAGUUGAGCGCUGAAGGUUGGUACUUGUACCAACUGGAUGAGCAGCGAACGGGUGAGUAACGCGUGGGGAAUCUGCCUUUGAGCGGGGGACCACAUUUGGAAACGAAUGCUAAUACCGCAUAAAAACUUUAAACACAAGUUUUAAGUUUGAAAGAUGCAAUUGCAUCACUCAAAGAUGAUCCCGCGUUGUAUUAGCUAGUUGGUGAGGUAAAGGCUCACCAAGGCGAUGAUACAUAGCCGACCUGAGAGGGUGGGCGGCCACAUUGGGAAUGAGACACGACCCAAACGCCUACGGGAGGCAGCAGUAGGGAAUCUUCGGCAAUGGACGAAAGUCGGACCGGGCGACGCCGCGUGAGUGAAGAAGGUUUUCGGAUCGUAAAACUCUGUUGGUAGGGAAGAACGUGGGUGAGAGUGGAAAGCUCAUCAAGUGACGGUAACUACCCAGAAAGGGACGGCUAACUACGUG
This 497-nucleotide ribosomal RNA is filed under the name uncultured bacterium. Its description in RNAcentral is "partial 16S ribosomal RNA". It matches the Rfam family "Bacterial small subunit ribosomal RNA", at positions 28 to 507 of the family's 1533-position model. The record is from RNAcentral.